UUUCCGUAGGUGAACCUGCGGAAGGAUCAUUACCGAGUUAGGGUGUGCAUAACGCCCGACCUCCCAACCCUUUGUCUAUGAUAACACAAGUUGCUUCGGCGCGCCGAGGGGUCGUACCCUCGCCUGUCCUCGGGACGGGAGCGUGCCCGCCGAUGGCCUCCACUUAACACUUGAACCCAAAACCUGUCGUCUGAACAUUUGUGAUUACUAUUAAUCAAAAACAAAACUUUCAACAACGGAUCUCUUGGUUCUGGCAUCGAUGAAGAACGCAGC
Molecule: unclassified non-coding RNA, 273 nt
Filed under: uncultured fungus
Lineage: Eukaryota; Fungi
Description: sequence contains ITS1, 5.8S rRNA gene
Rfam family: 5.8S ribosomal RNA (bases 225-273)
Source: RNAcentral